GAGAUUAUCCACGAACUGCUAAGUCACACCCCCCCGAGCCUAAAACACUCGGACUUCUC
RNAcentral lists this transfer RNA (59 nucleotides) under Agama boueti (Mali agama). RNAcentral describes it as "tRNA-Ser". Lineage: Eukaryota; Metazoa; Chordata; Lepidosauria; Squamata; Agamidae. The record is from RNAcentral.